UGAUGAGUUUGUUUUACUUUGUGAUAACUUCUAUCAUUUUAAGCUUUUUAUUCUACCUCGUAAAUUAUUCAUUAGAGUUGACUGUUUAACGCGUUCAACUAUAGAUAAAAUUACGAAAGUUU
Molecule: small RNA, 122 nt
Filed under: Arabidopsis thaliana (thale cress)
Lineage: Eukaryota; Viridiplantae; Streptophyta; Magnoliopsida; Brassicales; Brassicaceae
Description: ATSL143790
Source: RNAcentral